This is a non-coding RNA of Paramuricea clavata, 546 nucleotides long. Lineage: Eukaryota; Metazoa; Cnidaria; Anthozoa; Malacalcyonacea; Plexauridae. The record is from the annotation of a GenBank genome assembly.
ACCAACUAGAGAAAGCUGAAAAUGGUAUGAACACCAACCAAACGGAGUAAUUGAAUCAGAUAAUGUAAAGAUUCUCUGGGAUUUUAACAUACAGUGCGAUCAUGUGAUUGAAUGUCGAAGACCUGAUAUUGUAGUGGUUUUAAAGAAGGAAAAGGAAUGCAAGAUCAUAGACAUCGCAGUUCCAGGGGACUGUAAAAUUGGUAUAAAAGAAACAGAGAAGGUAGAAAAGUAUGAGGAUUUGAAAAGAGAAAUUCGGAAAAUAUGGGCAAUGAAAAAAGUAGAAGUCAUUCCAAUAGUAGUAGGUGCUUUAGGAGCAGUUAGUAAUAAACUGGAUAAGUGGAUUGAGAAAUUGGGAUUACAUAUAAGAAUAGAACUUCUACAAAAAACAGCAUUGUUAGGGACGGCAAGAAUACUGAGAAGAAGCUUGGAAAGCUAAAAUCUUUGGGACCUGAGGCUACUGGUUGUAGCCAGCUUCCAAGGAAAAGACAUAGCCAGCAUAAGAACAAAGCUGUGAAAAACAUGUAAUAAUAAUAAUAAUAAUAAUAA